Molecule: non-coding RNA, 24 nt
Filed under: Arabidopsis thaliana (thale cress)
Lineage: Eukaryota; Viridiplantae; Streptophyta; Magnoliopsida; Brassicales; Brassicaceae
Source: RNAcentral
CACAAGCGUCUUCAGUUCUAAUGC